UAAAAUAGUAAAAGUAAAAAAAAUAUGGACUUUAACUUAAUCUAUUAAAAAAUUUAUAUUAAUUAUAUAUAUAAUCCUUUUUUAAUAUAUUUUGUAAAUAAGUGAAAAAUUGUUAUAAUGUAAAAUAAAUGACCUUUAUUACUAGUUAAUUGUAUUCAUAAUUUUUAUAAUAAGCAUAACAUAAAUAAUAAUAAUUUAAAGAAAAUAAUACCCUAACCCUUAAUAAAAUGAAAGCGCUAAACAAAUCAGGAAACAAUGAAACAAACAGGGCAAACCUCACCCCCCAUUUCAAACUCAUACACAAAAUUUCAAACUCAAACCAGGAAUCGAUGAAUGAAAUACCUUUCCGAUGCGGUCGUCUCUUUGAUCUUAAAACGGGUUUGAUCUUAAAACGGGUUUGAAUAUCCUUAUGGGUUUGAUGGAUCUGAGUUUGCUGAAUGGGUUUGAUGGAUCUGUUUGCUAUGGGUAAGAUCUGUUUCUCUAAUAACAACUCUAUCUUCUACCUUUCUCUGGUUUUCUGAUUGUUUUAGAAAAUUUCCCCCUCUCUCAGUUCUGUUUGCCUCAAUUUAUAAGAGAAACGGCUAAUGUUUUCAUUCAUUGUACAAAUACAUGUUCUGGAUUUUGGAUUUUGUAUUGUUACUCAACAAAAAUUCAUUGAAAGGAAACUUUGUUGAACAUAAUGUUGGAACGAAAGGAAACGUGUGGCAGUGUGAACGAAAGGAAACGAGUGCCCAAAACUGAAGGAAACGUGUGCCCAGC
RNAcentral lists this long non-coding RNA (759 nucleotides) under Cicer arietinum (chickpea). RNAcentral describes it as "long non-coding RNA (CARI_LNC000708)". The record is from RNAcentral. Lineage: Eukaryota; Viridiplantae; Streptophyta; Magnoliopsida; Fabales; Fabaceae.